Molecule: ribosomal RNA, 305 nt
Filed under: uncultured bacterium
Lineage: Bacteria
Description: bacterial SSU rRNA
Rfam family: Bacterial small subunit ribosomal RNA
Source: RNAcentral
UACCUACGGGGGGCAGCAGUGGGGAAUAUUGCACAAUGGGGGAAACCCUGAUGCAGCAACGCCGCGUGAGUGAAGAAGGUUUUCGGAUUGUAAAGCUCUGUUAGCAGGGAAGAGGAAGGACGGUACCUGCAGAGGAAGCCACGGCUAACUACGUGCCAGCAGCCGCGGUAAUACGGAGGAUGCGAGCGUUAUCCGGAUUUAUUGGGUUUAAAGGGUGCGUAGGCGGGCUGUUAAGUCAGCGGUAAAAGCCCGGGGCUCAACCCCGGCGAGCCGUUGAAACUGGCUGUCUUGAGAUGUCGAGAGGG